Molecule: long non-coding RNA, 25835 nt
Filed under: Nicotiana tabacum (common tobacco)
Lineage: Eukaryota; Viridiplantae; Streptophyta; Magnoliopsida; Solanales; Solanaceae
Description: long non-coding RNA (NTAB_LNC016373)
Source: RNAcentral
UAGAAUAUACUGAUGAAAGAUUGACCCUUGAAUCCGGCCAAAGAAUGUGUUUGCGUGGAAGGAGGCAGCCAAAAUCUUUAGCAGCAAAGUCUUCAAGAGCCACAAGAAUGCACCAAUAAGCAAAGCUGUACUAGUCCAGGUAAUAAAAUCAGUAACCUUCUCAGCGGUACGUGACCGCUCCUCGUGUGAGAAGAGCAGAACCCAUGUGAGAAGAACCAAGCUAAACCAAAUGCAAACUCGAACACUUUUCUUUAAACCAAAGACAAAAUACAACACCUUCUUCCUCAACAAAAAGUUCAAUUCUAUCAACAAGGCAACAAAAUGUAUAAACCACUUAGUAACCAGCAUGCCACUAAAGGUCACCAUAACAAGGACAAUCCAUUUCCAGAUCCUCAAAUCCAAAAGCUUCCAAUUAUAGAACUUGUUUACCAAUAAACUAGCAAGUAAACAUCCUAAAAGGCAAAGAAACAGCAGCCAUUCAAUCAGAACUUUUGCUUUAACUCUGUUAUACUUCAACUUAUUCCUUGAGCUCACUUUCUUAUAUAUCUCCUCAUCUUCAUCCACUCCUCCAAAACCACCUGGUGAUGCCAUUUAUGGUGUUCUUGGGGUUACUGAUAUAGACACCGUUCUUGUUGUCUCUUUAAAUGUAUUACUGGAACCCAUUUUAGCAGUAGGAGAAGCAUGGUUAGAUACAUUCCUAUUGGGGGAACUUGCACUUUGCUCAGCAGCUUGUUCAUUAAACAUGUUAGCAUCAAUAGGUACAGAUUGUUCGCCGAAUCUUGAUUUAGGUCUCGAAUACGUACAUCUUGCAAGGGAUUUUCGCCGAGCGAGAGUUUCAGUGGUGGGGAUUUUGGGUGGUUUGUUGGGGCUUAGGCUUGGACUAUACCUGGCAAUUUCAGGUGAGGAAUUACUCACUGAAAACCAAAGAGCUCUUUGCUGUCAAGUUUAUUGAAAGAGGCCACAAGGUUUUUUUUUUCUCACCUUAAAUUUGACACCUUUACUUCAAUAUCUAUUUUGAUUUUUCAUUAAAGUAUUUGUUAAUUUAUGUUCUCAGUGAUGAUCAAUUUUUUUUUUGGGGGGGGGGGGGGGGUUAGAUUAUUUUGAGGUUGCAGAUAGAUGAACACGUUCAAAGGGAAAUAAUGAAUCACACAGAUCAUUAAAACAUCCAAAUAUAGAGGUGCGUGUGCUGUGCUUCUUACUGUUAGAAAGAAUCUUUCAUUAUAUUUAUUCUGAUAGCUGCGUUGAUGAUAUUUAGAACAACAAGGCAACAAAUGUUUUAGCAAAGAUACAAACUUUUUGGAAUUACCCAAUAGAAUCAGUGAGUUUACUACAGUAAAAUGAAAAUCUGGUUUGUACCCAGAAAACACAAAAUGAUAAAAGAACCUCCAGACGCCAGUUGCUACAAAACAAGAAAAGGGAAGUGGGGGAACAGCUAAAAAGAAGCAGAGUCAAAGAUUAGACAACCAUUGUACAAGUUGAAGUGAAUAUAGUAAUACAAGGGCAUCCUAAUUAGACAAAGGUUUUUGCAUAAACUAAGGAGAAAGAAAAAAUAGAACUUACAAGAAAAAUAAGACUGAGAGAGACAUAUUUUCAAGAAAAGGGGCAGUGAUAUCGAGAGGAGGUGAAGAUAGUGGAAGAAGAGGCACAUAUUUUAAUGGAAAACAACUACUUGGGGAGGGGAGACAUAUACACCAGAAAUAUUUGAACUAAGCCACGUAACUUUUGGUUCUGGUUGAGUGGAAUGAAAAAGGCAAUUGCUCAGAGCCUUGGCUGAAAAAAGUAGUAGUAUUUGGACAAUAACAAUUUGACAGCUAGAAAAGUUCUUUGAAACAAAAAAAAAUGUUUAUGAAACACUUGAUUUUUACGUUUUUUUUAGCUUUUUUUUUUUGUAUUUGACAAAAUCAAAAAAUACUUAAAAUAAAUUAAAAACUCCUUAAAACAAGCCAAAAAUAAAAAGUUGGGCAACCUCAACUUAUUACUUUUUUGCUUAAAAGUUAUUUAUGCUGAAAAGUCACUUUAUUUAAACCAAUCCAAACGGACUCUUUGUUUUGUCAAGAAAAAAUCAGCGUCGAAAAUACAAAGAUAUUUCAUUGGCCUCGAUUGGAAAAUCUUAUGGGAUUAGUUAGAGGCGGAUCUAGAAUUUGAAAGUGACGGAUAUUACAAUUUCCUUUAUUGUACACCUUGUAACAACUAAUUUAGAGUUUGUUCGAUUAUUUUAGUUUAUUCGGACAAUUUAAUAGGCAUUUUUUAUUUACAAAUAUAAAAAUUGCAUCUCUUUCCUAGACCCUACUUAUGAGAUUUCACUAGGUAUGUUAUUAUUUUUGUAUGAAAAUUACAUCAGACACCAAGAAGCAAAUGUAAUUAGCAUUUAAAGAAGGAAUCACACAUUUAUUAUUAACAAUACAAGUAAAGUCAAUAUUUUUACCAGAGAACUACACCUUUUUCUGUAUGCUAAAAAUAAAUAAGUAAAAUAACAUCUUCAUAAGGGAAUUCGAUCAGAAUAAGAAAAAUAAAAAAAAUAUUUCAAUAAAUAAAUUAUACCCCACAAGUAAAUGCAGAAUUAGAUAAACUACAAGAUCCCAAAAAUUAAAAUCAUAAAUCUCAUAUUUUUCUAGGCAAUGCUUGCGAAAAUUUCAUCAAAGAGAUUUAAAUUGUAUUUAAGAAUCACAGAAUAGCAUAAUUUUUAUGUUAUAAUAAAAAAAAAUUAUAAAAAUUAAAUUUGAUCUCAAUUCAAAAUUCUGAUCAAGACCCAAGUUUUUUUAUUUUGAAAGAGAAAAACUAAAAGAUUUGAGAUUAAGGAAAAAUCCUUAUUUUAAGAAUUUUUUAAAUUUUGGAGUCUAUUUUUUGAGUGUUCUUGCUAAAGAUCACAAAUAAAAUUAAUAGAAUAAAGGAAAAAAAUAUAAAAAUUAUAAACGACAAAUAGGAAAUUGGGAGGUAGCCAAAAACGAAAAUGAUCGGGAUAAAGAAAAUAAAAGGCACAACGAAAAGAGAAAGUUAGACAAUGUUCUAAAUAAAUUCGAGCUUGAAUUUUACACACGAGAAAAACUUUCAAAAAAGUGUAUCAGCCAUGGCACCUUUGUCUAGUUUGUCACUGGGGGUGGCAAGAUCAAAUAUUUAACCUAGUUAAUUUUUUUUUAUAUAUAAAUAUAUGAGAAUUUUACCAACCUAGUGGGUGUCAUUCCACCCCACCCUAAAGGGUGGAUCUGCCACUAGGAUUAGCUAUCUUAUUUUCUAAUACUCAUUGUCAAUAAUAGAAUAAAUACAAUUACAUAUUCCAUCACAGGAUUAUUUUUUUUUUUUAUUCUAGACCAAGGAUCGAAAGUUUUUGAUCUUAAUAUAUCAUUAAUAAUUUCUUUUUUCUUUUUAAUUAUUGGUCAAAGUUUAAUUAAAAAAGCCAAAUAUAGCAGGAGUACAUUACUAUUGGCAAGAAAAAGGAAAAAUAAUAGAAUAAGAAAAUGUAUUAGAUUUUUUUAUUAUAAGAAGUCAAGAAAUAUUAUUUUAUAGAGUACUAUCUUAAUGCUCAAAUAAUAUAAGAAGAUUAUUGUUAACGGCUCAACGCUAGCUCUUUUUUCUUCUCUCUUUUGUGCAAACAUUGUUUUUUAGUCAUUUUUCUUUAAAAUUUGUUAUUUAUUCCCCAAAAACCCAAAGUUAUAAUAAAAAGUAGUAGUUGCUUGAUCUUAGCUAGGAGUAUUUUGUGAUGAGCGUGGUAUAAAUUAUAAUUGUUUUGCUCCUAGAACUUCAAAAUGGAAUAGUGAAAGAAACAAAAGGACUUUGGAGAAAAUGGCUAGGACCAUGUUACUUGCUAGUAAGUUGCCUCAUAGUUUCGAGAAAGAACCUGUGAACACUGUAUGUUACAUCAUAAAUAGGUGCAUGAGUAGACCUCUUGUAGAGAAAACUCCCUAUGAGUUACUUAAAGGGAGAAAGCCAAAUAUAUCUCAUCUUAGGGCAUUUAGAUGCACGUACUUUGUGCACAAUAAUGAAAAAGACUCUCUAGGAAAGUUUGAUCCCAGAAGUGAUAAGGGAGUAUUCUUGGAAUAUUCUCCACAUAGUAAAGCAUAUAAGAUAUACAACAAAAGAAAUAUGUGUGUAGAAGAAAGUGUACAUGUUGUCUUUGAUGAAACUAAUAUUCUUUUUGAGAGGCAGGAACAAGAUGAUGAAGAGAUUAGACUGAUAAGAAAUUCAAAUGUUGAAACAACAGUUCAGCCUGAAGUUGCUUCACAAGAAGGAACAUCGUCCUUCCACCCAAGGCAACCUGACAGGGGGAACUGACCAGAGAGGAACUGAUUCUCAAACCUCAAGGGAACCAGUCCAUAAACCUGUUCCUCAGCAACAAAACAAUGAGGGAACAUUUAGAGAAAACCAAUUGGUUAUGAAGCCUUAAAAGUAUCAAAGUUCUCAUCCCAUUGGGAACAUAAUCACUCAUCCAACCUCUGGAAUCAAAAUCAUAUCUUCUUUAAAGAAUCUCUGUGCUUUUGAUACUUUCUUGUCUCUUAUUGAAGGCUUUACAGGAUGCAGAUUGGGUGAAUGCAAUGCAAGAUGAAUUCAACUAAUUUGAAAGAAGUUAAGUUUGGCAUCUGGUACCAAGACCCAAAGACAGGAUAGUGAUUGGUACUAAAUGGGUCUUCAGAAACAAACUUGACGAAGAAGGAACAGUUACAAGGAACAAGGUAAGAUUGGUGGUUCAAGGAUAUAGUCAAGAGGAGGGCAUGGGCUAUUAUGAGACUUUUACUCCAGUUGCAAGAUUAGAAGCAAUUAGACUCCUUAUAACCAUUGCUGCUUACAUGGAAUUCACUCUCCAUCAGAUGGAUGUCAAGAGUUCCUUCCUCAAUGGCUAUCUAAAAAAAGAAGUAUUUGUCAAGCGACCUCUUGGCUUUGAAAGAAAGGAAUUUCCUGAGCAUGUGUACAAGCCUGACAAGGCACUUUACGGGCUCAAGCAGGAUCCAAAAGUAUAGUAUGAAGAUUGUCCAAAUUACUGCUUGAGCAUGGAUACAAGAGAGGUAAAAUUGAUAAUAUUUUAUUCAUGAAAGAAAAAGGUAAAUAUCUCUUGGUUAUUCAGAUAUAUGUUGAUGAUAUAAUCUUUGGAGCAACAACUAAUAGGUUAAGUAAAGAGUUUGCUAAGCUAAUGGGGAGUGAAUUUGAAAUGAGCAUGAUGGGUGAACUUAAUUUCUUUUUAGGCUUACAAAUUAAACAAAAUUCAAAUAAAACUAUGAUCCAUCAGUAAAAGUAUGUGAAAGAGUUGCUCAAAAGGUUUAAGAUGGAAGAUUCCAAAGAAAUUGAGAUUCCUAUAACAACAUCCACAAAAUUGGAUUUGGAUGAAUCUUGUUCAUCUGUUGAUCAGAAAAUAUAUAGGGGAAUGAUUGUCACGACUCUAAUUUUUCUCCGUAGGAUGUCGUGACGACACCUAGUCUCUAAAACUAGGUAAGCCAAACAAACAUGCGAAAUGACUGAAAUAAUAAUUAAAAGUCUCAAAACUUCAACAAUUAUAUAAAAUAAAGUCUGCCACUUAACAAUGCACAAUUCCCAAAAUCCAUCGAAAUAUAAGCCACAAGUUCGAUGAAGUAAUACUAAAUAACUCUAUACAAUAAUGUCUAAAUAAGGACAAGGAAGUAAAAUAAUCCAGGUGGAGGGGGGAUCCGAGGCCUACAGAUGCUGGCAGGUGUACCUUGAAGUCUCCACGUACGAACUCUACUCACUGACGCCCGGACUAGUAUGAAGUAUCUGGAUCUAUACAAAAAGAUGUGCGGAAGCAUAAUAUGAGUACACCACAACGGUACCCAGUAAGUGCCAAGCCUAACCUCGAUAGAGUAGUGAAUAGGUUAGGUCAAGGCCCUACUGAAAAUAAUAAGAAACAGGACGAAAUAUUUAACAAUAUAAUAAUAAUGACAAUGGAAAUGAAACAAGUAAGGAGUAUGCCAAAAUGUAACUAUACAGAAUAAAGACAAAUAAUACAUCACGUUAGAAAACAAGGGUUUACAUAUUAAGGAAACAAACAACCAAAGAUAAGUACAAGAACAUAUCAAUUAUUAACAAGUGUCGCUACCGAGGUACCGACUCGUAGUCCCAAAAUAUAAGAACAACUCACAAUCUUUCCUUAUAUCACCGCGGGAGCCUUUACAUUUAGUUUUGAAAAUUAUUUUCCGAAAUAGCAUCUCGCAUUUUAGCCCACCUUAUUACACCGCAUUACUUCUAGUAGUUCCCCUACUAGCCAUGCGUAUCAAGCCCACCUUAUCUCACCGCAUUUAUUUCAACCCCAAAACCUUAUACCACCGCAUGUGUAUCAAUAUCACAACGUAUCACGAAUCGCACCUCAAGUGUCCAAUAUCACAACUUGCCAGAGAAGCCAAACAAUAAUAGAAUUUCACAAUAAGGAGCCCACAUCUCAACCACAAUAUACACAAAGUCUCAACAAUAACAACCGGAAGUAAAUAGCUCAAUAGAAUGAUAUUUCAGAACUUAACACUUUGCUUCAAUAGGAAUUACGACCUUUGUAACUCAAUACCAAUUUCAACUACCAGAUAUUUUCAAGAAUGACAACUUCAAGUAAAGAGUUCAACAAUUAAAUAAUCAAUACGGAAUAAGGAAAUAAGAGCUUCAAGUAAACAUGUAGAGCAAAUAGCAGGUAAGAGAUAAGACAAAUAGAGCAUGUGAAAUUAUACUAAUGAUAAUGAGGAUAACAUGUUAAGAUAACUCAAUUAAAGCAAGAAAGUAAUAUACGUAGCUAAAACCGAUAAUUUUCACAUUUAGCCCGUGUACACACUCGUCACCUUGCGUACACAGGUUCCACACAUCACGAUUAUCACAAACAACACUAAUCUUAAGGGAAAAUUUCCCCACACAAGGUUAGGCAAGUCACUUACCUCAAAUCACGAUAGAUCAAUUCACUAGUAAGCCUUUCCCUUGAUUAUCCAACUCUGAACGGCUCGAAUCCUAAUGAUCUUUCUGAAAAACCCUCAAAAUAUCUCCUCCCACCGAGCUCUCUAAGUCCAAAAAUGGAUUAUGAAUCAAAUCCUCAAAAAUUCCCCUUUUCUGCCCAGCGAAUCCGCUUCUGCGGCUUUUUUGUCGUUUCUGCGACGCUGCACCUGCGGAAAAACCAUCGCAGGUGUGAAUUCCACUGAAGUCCAGAAUUUCUGCUUCUGCAGACCAUGGCUCACGCCUGCGGGCCCGCUUCUGUGGAGAACCUUCCACUUCUGCGACCAUAGCCUAGGCCAGCCUCGUCCGUAUCUGCAAUCACACCUCCGUAUCUGCGAACGCGCAGAUGCGGUUAUCACCUUGCACCUACUAUCCUAGCUGGGCCAAAGCCAGCUUCGCUCCUGCAACAUAUUGCUCACUUUUGCGAGUCCACACCUACGGCCAAUCCCUCCGCAGGUGCGAUGACACCAGAAGGCUGGAACUUCAGAAAUUUCACAAGUCCAAUUUUUUAUCCGGAUUCAAUCUGUUCCACACCGGGGCCCCGGGGACCCCGUCCAAAUAUACCAACAAGUUCCAAAACAUAUAAAGGACCUACUCGAGGCCAAUAAUCACAUUAAACAACAUCGAUUCAACGAAUCACAAUCCAAAUUCAAGCAUAUGAACUAUGAACUUCCGAAUUCCGAAACCAACGCCGAUUCAUACCAAAACAACUCCGAUUGACCUCAAAUCUUGCACACAAGUCAUAAAUAAUAUUACAGACAUAAUCCAACUUUCGGAAUCAGGAUCUGACCCUAAUAUCAAUAAAGUCAACUCCCGGGCAAACUUUUCCAAAAUCAUCCAUUUUCCAACUUUCGCCAAUUCAUGACGAAAUGACCUACGGACCUCCAAAUCAACAUCUGGACAUGCUCAUAAGAGCUAUUGAAACUGUCAAAACUCUAUUCCGGACUUGUCUUUUCACAAGUCAAACUAGGGUCAACUUUUACAACUUAAACCUCCAACUUAGGGACUAUGUGUCUCAUUUCACUCUGAAACUCACCCGAAACCAAAACCAAACACCCUGACAAGUUACAUAACCACAAUAUAGCAUAGAGGAGGCAAUAAAUAAGGGACCAAGGCUAAAAACAUUCAAAACGACCAGCCGGGUCGUUACAUCCUCCCCCUCUUAAAACAAACGUUCGUCCUUGAACGAGUAUAGAGACAUACCUGAAGUGGCGAAACAAUGAGGAUAACGGCUAGGCAUAUCAUGCUCGGUCUCCCAAGUCGCCUCCUCGACUAGCUGACCCAUCCACUGAACCUUCACUGAAACAAUGUUCUUCGACCUCAACUUUCGAACCUGCCUGUCCAAAAUGGCCAUCGGCUCCUUAACAUAAGAUAAUUUUUUGUCCAACUAGACUGAGCUGAAAUCCAACACGUGAGAUGGAUGGCCGUGAUACUUCUAGAGCAUAGAAACAUGGAACACUGGAUGAACUGCAGCUAGACUAGGUGGUAGUGCAAGCUUGUAGGCUACUUCUCCAGUCCUCUUAAGAAUCUCAAACGGCCCGAUAUACCUUGGGCUCAACUUGCCCUUCUUCUCAAACCUCAUAACGCCCUUCAUGGGCAAAACCCGGAGCAAGACCCGCUCCCCAACCAUGAAUGCAACGUCGCGAACCUUUCGAUCUGCAUAACUCUUAUGUCUAGAUUGGGUUGUACGAAGUCGAUCUUGAAUCAAUUUAACCUUUUCCAAAGCAUCCUGAACCAAGUUUGUACCCAAUAGCUUGCCUCACCCGGCUCAAACCAACCCACCGAGGACUGACAUCGUCUCCCAUCCAAAGCCUCAUACGGAGCCAUCUAAAUGCUCGACUUGUAACUGUUCUUGUAGGCAAACUCCACAAUCGGCAAGAACUGAUCCCAAGAACUCCCAAACUCCAUCACACACACACGAAACAUAUCCUCCAAUAUCUGAAUAAUGCGCUCGGACUGUUCGUCAGUCUGAGGGUGAAAUAUUGUACUUAACUCCACCCGCGUGCCUAACUCAUGUUAUACGGCCCUCCAGAACUACGAUGUAAACUACAUACCCCGGUCAGAGAUGACAGAUACCGGCAUGCCAUGAAGCGUGACAAUCUCGCGAAUAUAGACCUAAGCCAGCUACUCUGAAGAAUAAGUAGUCACCACUUGAAUGAAAUGAGUUGACUUGGUCAAUAUAUCCACAAUUAUCCAUACUGCAUCGAACUUCCUCUGAGUCUGUGGGAGCCCAACAACAAAAUCCAUAGUAACCCGCUCCCAUUUCCACUCUGGAAUCUCUUGCCUCUGAAGCAAUCUGUCUGGCCGCUGAUGCUCAUACUUCACCUCCUGGCAAUUUAGGGACCGAGCCACAACCUCCACUAUGUCCUUCUUUAUUCUCCUCUACUAAAAGUGAUGCCUCAAGUCCUGAUACAUCUUGGCGGCACUCGGAUGAAUGAAGUACCGCGAACUAUGGGCCUCCUAAAGAAUCAGCUCACACAAACCAUCUACAUUGGGCACGCAUAGCCUGCCUUGCAUCCGCAAAACACCGUCAUCCCUAAUAGUGACCUUCGUGACAUCGCCAUGUUGAACUGUGUCCUUGAGGACAUGUAGAUGGGGGUCGUCAUACUGACGCUCUCUGAUACGAUCAUAAAAAAAAGAUCGAGAAACCACACAAGCCAAAACUCGACUCGGCUCCGAAAUAUCUAAUCUAACAAAAUGGUUGGCCAAGGCCUGAACAUCUAAUGCUAAUGGCCUCUGCGCUGCCGGUAAAUAUGCUAAACUAUCCAAGCUCUCCGCCUUGAGACUCAAAGUAUCGGCCACCACAUUGACCUUCCCGGGAUAAUAUAGAAUGGUGAUAUCAUAGUCCUUAAGCAACUCUAACCACCUCCACUGCCGCAAGUCAAGAUCCUUCUGUUUGAAUAGAUGCUGUAGACUUCGAUGGUCGGCAUAGACCUCACAAGGGACACCAUACAAAUAGUUCCGCCAAAUCUUCAAGGCAUGAACAAUAGCUGCUAACUCAAGAUCGUGGAGAGGAUAGUUCUUCUCAUGCACCUUCAGUUGUCUAGACGCAUUGGCAAUCACCCUACCGUCCUGCAUCAACACUACGCCGUGAUCAAUACGCGACGCAUCACAAUACACUAUAUAAGGCCCCGAACCCGAAGGCAACACCAAUACAUGGGCCGUAGUCAAAGCAGCCUUGAGCUUUUGAAAGAUCUUCUCACACUCUCUGGUCCACCUAAAUGGAGCACCCUUCUGGGUCAAUCUGGUCAUAGGUCCAGCAAUAUAUGAGAAACCCUCUAUGAAUUGACGGUAAUACCCUGCCAAACCAAGGAAACUUCGAAUCUCAGCAGCUGAAGACGGCAUGGACCAACUCUGCACUGCUUCAAUCUUCUUCGGGUCCACCUUAAUUCCCCCACUCGACACUACAUGACCCAGAAAUGCCAUCAAAUCGAGCUAGAAUUCACACUUUAAAAUUUUUGCAUACAACUUCUUUUCUCUCAAGGUCUGAAGCACGGUCCACAGGUGCUGCUCAUGAUCCUCCCAGUUCCGGGAGUACACCAGAAUGUCGUCAAUAAAUACAAUGUCGAAUGAGUCAAGAUAGGGUUAGAAUACACUAUUCAUCAAGUGCAUGAAUGCUGUUGGGGCAUUAGUCAACCCAAAUAACAUUACAAGGAACUCGUAAUGACCAUAUCGAGUCCUGAAGGCAGUCUUUGGGAUAUCUGGCUCCCGAAUCUUCAACUGAUGAUAGCCUGAAUGCAAGUCAAUCUUGGAGAACACUCUGGCACCCUGUAGCUGAUCAAAUAGGUCAUCAAUGCGUGGCAAUGGAUACCUGUUCUUCACUGUAAGCUUGUUCAACUGGCGAUAAUCAAUACACAUGUGCAUAGAACCAUCCUUCUUCUUUACAAACAAGACUGGAGCACCCCAAGGUGAUACACUAGGCCGAAUAAAACCUUUAUCAAGAAACUCCUGCAACUUCUCCUUUAACUCCUUCAACUUUGGUGGGUCCAUACGAUAUGGUGGAAUAGAAAUGGGCUAAGUACCCGGUAAUAAAUCAAUACCAAAAUCGAUAUCCCUGUCGGGCGGCAUGCUCGAAAGAUCCGCCGGUAAUACAUCUGGAUAAUCCCUCACUACCGGAACUGACUCAAUGGUAGGAGUAUCAACACUGACAUCUCUCACAUAUGCUAGAUACACAUCACAUCCCUUUCUAACCAUCCGAUGUGCCUUAAGGAAAGACACCACCCUACUAGGAAUAUAAUCUAAAGUACCUCUCCACUCUAACCGCGGCAAAACUGGCAUAACCAACGUCACCGUCUUGGCAUGACAUGGGUACAUGUGAAGCCUCACCCAAAAAUCAUAACAAGAGGUGUAGAGAUGUCCUAUCCACGAGCCUCGUGCUGCUCGGGUCCAGUUCCUGAAACAGAUAAAUGAAAAUUUGGCCAACUUGCCUAAGCUCCAUAUGCCUAAUACAAAUCAUAAAUUGGUUAUCCCAAAAAAAGUGGGACAUGAUAUAAAGAAUAUGAGAUAUGCAUAUACAAUUAAUAUAAGACAGAAAUAUUUAUAUCAAUUAAUAAUUUAGAAAAUAAAUAAAAUCAUAAUGUAAAGCAUAUUUCACAGUCUUCCUUUAGAUGUAAGCUUAACCAAAAAUCAUGUGAGCUUUUACCUUUAAACGGGAGUGCUAUACCGACACCGACAUAAUAUAACAACACUAGAUGAUCAACCUAGCACAAGUAUUUGACCCUCUUUGUUCGGACGGCUUCCCGUAGUACCGUACGGGUCGACUUAAUUUCAUCACAUUAAGUAAUGAUCAUUUGCCCUCACAAUGGGGAACUUUUAUGCCACAACCUCAGCUUAACCUUAGAAUGUGUCCCUACACCGAUACAUGUAGUUUCAUGGUAACGAACUCAAGAUUCGAACCAAUCUCGGUGACUUUCACUAGUAACUCCCAAAAUAUUUACAUUUGGCAUUUAUAGUGUUCAUAUACAUAUGAACAAAUUGUAAACAUGUAAUUGUAAAAUAUUUCACCAAUCAUAUAUUCCCGCUUCACAAAAUACUACAAGUAUUAUUCCUCCUUUAUUUAGUUUUUUAAAACUAAAACAAUAUUAUAUUUCAAGAAAAUAAUAUCUGUAGCACCUAAAUAUUUUUUUUGAUGCAAGGAAUGGUCCAAUCCUAACCCGCUCGUCCCCACAAACUAGGAUUCACAUUUAAAAUUUAUUCAAAUCGCAUUUCAAUAUGAGUUGGAGAAAAGCUCUGAGGAUAGUAAAUUUCAACGUACCUCAAAUUGUUUUCCAAUUCUUACCCAAAUGAACCGACGAUGCCAACAAGUCAAAAUCUACAUAUACAAACUUACGCGGAUCAAGGAUGCGUCACAAUAAUACCAUCUAAGCCAACUAAAUGUUUAAUACUUAGGUCCAAUUUCACAAGUUUAGCAAAAAUACCUAUUUUAUCAUGUAAAGGUAAACCCUUGAAUUUUAACUCCAAAUCCUUCAUUAAACAUAUCAUGGUAUCUAAUUGUUCCAUUAGAAUCUCAAAACGAUAUCGUUCAAGCAAGACCCAACACUAUUCGUCAUCUCUACCAACCAACUCUUCAAUUUCAAGAUUAGUUUCUAAGGUUUUAUAAAUAGAUGUUUAAAUAUAAAUCUAUCUUUAAUAUACUCUACUACGUCCAUGGAGUAUAAUACAUAAGUUUGUAGUGAAGAGAUUACCUCUUUGUCAAAUCCUAGAAUUUUGAAGAAUUGAGUUCUUGAGAUUUUCUUCAAGAUCUAUGAAUUUCAUGGUAUUGAAGGGUUAAGAGAUGUAAUAAAUGAAUCAAAUCUACCAAAGAGGGUACUAAUUUCUCACCUCAAGAUAGCAUUAAUGGUGUAGAACUCCAUCCUCUCUCCAAGUCUCCAUGAACUUAUUCCAAAUAAUAAAACAUAUCUCUACCCAUAUGGCAUUUAAAAUCUUUCACAUGACGUGCGCCGUGGUGGAGGCAGCGUCCACACCCGAAGAGUUUCUCCCUUUGCAUGGUGAGUUGGACGCUAUGUCCCCGAAGCAUGAAAUUUCAUUAUGCUCCUUUGCUAUCCAUUUCCACUUUAAUAUUUUUAAGCAUGUGCAUUCUUUUUCAUCUAACAAUUUCAUCAUUAAUAUUCCUAAUCUCAUUUAACUCCCUUGUCUCCUUGUCUCCCCCUUAGUUCCUUGGUUAGCCAUCUGCCAAACUUUGUAAUCUUUUUCGUUCCAAUCAUUCUAAACACCUAAUUGGUUAAAGAUCAAAUCUAAAUAUUUUCAAAACUUAGAUAUAAUAAUUCUCUUUGUAAUAUAAAUUAUUUUUCUAAGAGUUUUAAUGAUCGUUAUAGUUACCAUUAAUCCAAUAUUCAACCUUUGAUAAUAAUUAUUCCCGAGCAUUCCAACAACUUUGUUCUACUCAAAUAGUCCCAUGUAGCUUGGGUUUAAUUAAAUUACAUUCUUAAGCUUAAAAUUAACUCGAAUUAAUUAUGAAAAUUCACGGGGCUUUACAGGAUAAUUAUGAUCACCUAAAAAAAAUCGGUUCUAACUCAAUGAUUGGUUAGAUAAUUUAUAAAUUUUUUAAAUAAUUAGAUUAGAUAUUGCUUAGUCUCAUACUUUUAUUAGUAUACUCUUGUGCCAUGUUCUAAAAUAUCUCACUGAUGUCUAAUGAUAUUACCCUUACUUUCUUGGAAAAAAUCAGUCUUACACAAGAGAACUUUCAGUGAAGAACCUAGUUCAUCGAGCUUAUAAGAUAUGUAUUAUACACUCCACAUAAUUUGAAAUAACUGCAUAUGGAACAUGAUCUGAAAAGAGUCACACUUUAUCCCAAACUACUUUCUAAACCAGUCAGUUGCAAACAAACUGGUUUCACCAAGAGACCCAUGCACCAUAAUUGCCCAAAUUUUUGGCGAAGAGUCCAACAUCUCUUCACCACCUAAAGAACCUCCUUUCCUUCCAAUUAGUUACAAACGAACCAGUUUCACCAAGAUACACUCCAUCUCUUCCCUCUUUAAAUUGAUUCGACUUUAGCCUCUUCUUCACCCCAAAUUCUUGAAACAUCAAAAAACCAAAAAUCCUAACUCUCUCAAAUUCUCUCAACCAUCCAAACUGAUCAAAUGGCAAAUAUUUCUGAAAACCCUAAGAAUUUUGAGAAUCCUUCUUCACCACCUAAAGAACCUUCACACACACCUUCAAUCACCCAAACCCCCAAGAAAAAGCAUGUAAAGAUGCUUGUACGCAAAACAAUGACAAGUGGAGAACAUGCCAAGAAGCUAAAUGAGAAAUUGAAGGCUAGCCAAGCAGAAGAACCCUAAAAAUCUUAUAAUUCCUUCAAGUCUGCGACUGAGAGGGAAGAACCAGUAUCAUCUAAAGAUGCUUCUGAAAUUACUGAAAAUCUUUUAAAUAGGUUUGUGUUGGUUGGUUCGAUUGUUGGUGUAGAAACUGUUGGGUGUGAAAAUAUUGGUGGAAAAAAAAAAUUUAAAAAAAAAAGAAAAAAAGAAAAAGAAAGUGAGGGUGUUAAAGUAGAUGUGAGGGGAAACGGAAAAGAAAGAGUGGUUGGAUUUUCUUCACCCACUCUUGUUGGUUUGGAUGAAGAAACAUGGAAAAUGGUGUUAUGGAGUGAGGAGAGUCCUGAUGAGGAAGAGAAUAUUGAAGAGAAUGAGGUAGUGGUUCUGGGGACACUGCUGCAGCAGAAGGGCUGGUUAGGUUGAGGAAAAGAUUCCAAGAACAUGUUCCAUCUAGAAAGGAACCCCUCCAUGAUCUGUUGCAGAAAGUGUCAGACAGUUACAAUCUCAAGAAGAAGAAGAGUGUUGUAGUAAAACUCCCUGGAAAGGCUAUAGGUGGCAAGAAGAAUAAGUCUGCCUCUUCUAUCCCUGUAGAGACUCAUCCCACAAGAGAAAGAACUACAAAGAGCCAGAAGAAGCAGAGUGAGGGCAAUUGAGAUUGAAGAUAUAGACAUGGUCCUUCAUAAUGAGGAUGAGACAAAGGAAUUGGAGGUUGUCAUUCCCAGUGCUAAGAAAAGAAAGACCUCUAAGAAGAAGUUUCAAGAAAAGUUUGCUGAGGUGGAAGACUCUGUGUUGUCCAAAUGAACUAGAUCGCCAAGAAAAUCAAAGAAAGUUUAAGUAGUGGAGGAAAAAAGUGAAGAAGAUGAGAUUGAUAAAGAAAAUGAUAAGUUGGUGAAGUUCUAGAAAAGAACCAUUUUGAAGGGAAGGCUCCUCAGUGAUUUGGAGUAAGAAAGAGAUAGUACUCUUGCUGGAAAAAUUUGAGUUACUAGGUUUGAAGGUCAUGGUCCUUCAGUUGGAAGGAAGGUUGUCCAGGGCUGAGGUUGUGGAAUUCUUUGCCAACUGUAAGAUUAAUAAUGGAAGAGUCAACAGUGAGGUGAAAGGAGUGACAAUGAGCUUUGAUAACAAAGUCUACUUUGGGGCCGACACUUUGACUAAUUAAUUGUGACUUUCAAGUCCAAACUGCGCCCAAAGAACCUGGUUCAUCCAAGAGGGUACCUAAGAACAACAAGGUUAGAGCCUUGUAGCAGGAAAGUGGGGCUAAGAAUGCUGAAAUAGAAAGACUGAAGACACGGUUGGCUGAAGUGGAAGUUGAGAGAGACUCUCUCAAGUCUGAGCUUGCAAAGGAGAAAGAGAAGAAUGAGGGCAUUCUUCAAGAUAUGCGGAAACUGCUUCAAGCCAAGAACUAAGAACCUGGUCCUUCCAGUCCUAAGACCUUCCUAAACCAGUUUGUAACCAGUAAACCAAAUGAGAUUUCUCUAUUUUUUUGCUCAUAGUUCUAUGUCUGUAUUUCUUCUUAUGCUUUGUGGUGGGAUCUUAUCAAUCAAUGAAAUCCACUGCUUUUGCUCUAAUUGUUUGUUGAUAUUUCUUAUAUGGCUAUUAUCCUUAGAUUGAAAAGGAGAAAAUUAAAUUCAUGAUUGCAUUUGAAGUAGCCCCAGUAUCCAUGAAUGAUAUCUCUUGAAAUCUAGUUACUUGGCUAAAUUAUGCAACUUUUUGAUGAUGCCAAAAGGGGAAAUUUAGAGUUUGAUAUUUAUAACCUAAUGAACCUGGUCCUUGAUGGUUUGUGACUUUAAAAUAAAAAGUGUUUUGACAUUGUGUUUGAUGUGGAGCUGAGUUGAAACAGGUUCUAUGCUCCUGGAAAGCACAGAGUUAGUCAUCAUCAAAAAGGAAAAAUUUGUUAACUUGAGCGAUUUUGGUUUUGAUGAUUGACAAAGGAAUACAUGCAUGAACUAGGUCCAUGGAUAUUGUACACAGGUUAUGGAUAGAUUUAAGCAAAAGGCAUGUCGUACAAAGGGUAAGUAUAAGUGGUUAUUUCUGAUAAUCCCCGAAUGAAAAGAUUGCAUGUUUGAUAAGGGGAAGGACUCCUUGCUUGAAGAGAACUCUAUCCAAGAUAAGGAAAGAGUUAGAAGUUGAAGAUAACUAGAACUCUUCCACCAAGGAAGAGUAAAGCAUCAAGUUUCUAGUUAAUCUUACUAAUUCUAUAAAUAUUAGUGUUGUUCUCUUUUACAUGUGACGCAUACACACUGAAGCUAAGCAAGAAUUGAGAGCCAAAUAGUAAGGCAUUUUAUGAGUAAUUCCUGUGAGUUUUAAGAGUGCGAACCUGAAGCUACAUGAACCAGAUUGAAGAACCAGUUCCAUGUAUCUGUUUUUUAUUCUAGUUCAAUUGUAAUAGGAGCUUUUGAGUUGUACCUUUCACCUUUUCUUAGAAGCAUUUGUACUAGGUACUUGAGUUGUAUUGUUCAAGUUAGAGUUAACUUGAAGCAGUCGCAACAGCCUGUGGUUGGUUGCUACAAGGGUUAGAUUUAAUCCUUAGGUUUGCAAGAGUUUAUAAACUUUAAUGUUUGGUUUAGAGCUUUAGUGAAGUGUUGGGGAAAAUCCUACUUGGAGGUAGGUUGUGAUUUUUUCACCUUUUGAGCCGGGUAUUUUUCACGUAAAAAUACUUGUGUUCUUUACUUUGUGCAUUACUUAUUCCACAACAGUAGAUUAAGGAACGUAUAGAAAAACCAGGUCCUUCUAUAAUCCAGUACACGUAAAAAUUGGACACCACACAAAUCAUCCUCCCUCCCCUCUCUUGUGUCGUAUUGAAGUAUAAAAUAUCAACCAUUUUGAACUAUCUCCAUCCAAUGGAGUUAAAAGUCCUACAAAGCCAGAAUUAUAACUCAUUUGAUUCCAAAUUUUGAUUAAGUUGUCUGAAAUUUAUAUAUCAAGCUUGCAACUAUACAUUUAUUUCCAUGUUGUUUGAGUCCCACUUUUUUAUGGGGUGGGGUACAAACGGCCAAUCUUAGGGAUGUUAUAUAGAGAUUAGCCAAUACUUAUUUUGUCCUGAAAUUUUAAACUAAAAAUCUCAAUUUGAGGAUAAUUCAGGACAUUUUAUCCCGAAAAAUUGAACUAGAAAACUGAAUUCAGGAUGCACUGGCUAAUUUUUAAAUAGCAGCCACUUAAAGUGGCUACAUAGUGUCAUUUCUACCCUUUUUAUUAGGUCUUUAACUAAUACAAAUGAUUUUUACUAAUCUGUUAACAAAAUAAGCAAAUCUACGCAAAGAGAAUUAGUACAAAACGUAGCGGAUGCAAUUCUUGAUAAGGUAAUACAUGGACAAUCAAUGAGGGACGGUCAUACAAUUUUUACAAAUCAUUUUCUAAUAUAGUUGAAGGCAAAUAGGUGAAUAUUUAGUGAAACUUUACUUGAUAUGUGAGUUGAUAUUAAGGGCUAUUGGCAGCAUCUUUGUGUUUAUUAGGUCUUUCUGUUUUAAUCUUGUUUGAUGAUAACAACAAGGGUUACUGGGGAUAUCUUUUAUUGACUUUCAUAUUACCUUGAUGCGCAUUGGCGGAUGCAGUCAACAACUAACGGGUUCAAUUGAACCCAUAACUUUUGACGUGGUAUAAAUAUUUAUAUAUAAAAAUUCAUUAAAAUUGCAAAAAUAGUGGAUAUGAACCUAUAACUUUAAAAAUAUAAUGAGUUAAAUACUAAAAACAUUUAAAGUUGAACCCAUAUGAUUUAAAUUGUGGAUCCGCCUCUGUUGAUGCGGAUUGCCUCAUGAAAUAGCAGUAUAAUUUUUUCUACAAAUCUGAUUUAGAUAGAAAUUUGAUAAGAGAGCGAAAAGAUAGCAGGCUACGACAGUUCUCAAUUCCACUUUCAAGAUUACUUGACCCCUAAGUGUAAUUUAGUAAUAAUAUUAAAAAUUCAGUAUUUAAAAUUAUUCGUCCACUUAAAAUGUUGCAAGCAAAUGAAUUUAUGAAAAGAGAUAAUAAGAAUAUACAAAGGGUCUCUCCUCUAAGAAUUUUCUUUUCCAUGUCCUAUUUUUCGAGACGAAUAUGAUUAUACUCAAAGGACUAUCUAGUCAAUAAGACGCCUAUCGAAGUAGAAAAAAAGAAAGAACAAUAGAUAAUAAUAAAAAAAAUGUCGCGUCUGAACAAGCAGAAUAGACGAGGAAAAGGUAUCAUGUUAUGAGUGGAGAAGCUCCAAGUCUCAUGUAAGACAACUAAAGACAAUAAUUUCCACUUUGACUCCUCGAAUUAGAAUUUACACUCAUACAAGUCUCAUUCAUUUAUCUUACCCACCCUAGUGCUAUUCUAAUUGAAUUUCAAAGAUUUCGCUCACAUUUUGUAAAGUAUUCUCUAGCUGUUGGUUUUUUUUCUUUCUUUUUUUUUUGGAGAAUUAUUUGUACUGGGAAGAAACAGAUUUGCAGUCCUCUACCUUACCACUUACCCAUGUCAUCGCCAAAAUGUUACAAAUAGAAAAUACGUAGAUGAAAACUAUCUCGGAUUACAGUUUAAUAUGUCAAGUAUUCACACAAGUUCACCGCAACGGCUAAGUUUGCUUUUGGCGUAUUGUCAUCCAUCUCAAAAGGAGAAUUUGAAACAUUAGAGAGAAGCUAACGUAGAAGGUAAAAGAAUACAUGGCCCUGUAACUCCUCUGGCUCAUAAAACACUCAGAACCACACAAGAUUUUCCACAUUAAAUUACUUCAAAAGACCCUUGAAAAAUUACAUCAACAAUGUUACUGGGCCAGUUUUGGCCAUGAAAUUUUUUUUACUUUUUUUGAAAUUUUUUUACUUUUUCCCGAAAUCAAUUUUCACUUGAACAUGCAUUUCAGAAUUAUUCGAAAAUUUUAAAAACUCCAAAAGGCUAAUUUUCAAAAUUUUCACUUCAGAUCACUCACAAAAUUCAAAAAUGGUCCAAAAUUGUAUUCAUGUCCAAACACAACUCUAAUUUUCAAAUACCAUUUUCACUUGGAAAGAAAUUUCACCUUUUUUUGAAAUUUUACAAUUUUUAUGUCCAAACGCCCACUAAGAUCCUCCAAAUAGAAACUGUACUCACUUUCACACAAAAUAUUAGCAGAUGAAACUUUUAUGUUACAAAUAUUGUUUAAUGUAGUACACACAACUUUCAGCAUUGAAGAGUCAGGUGUUAACCUUCGCCUUCUGAGUUCAUCGGUCAAACAAAUGUAUAAGAAAAACCUAUUGCGGUGGAAGCAACACAUACAAAAAUUACUGUAUUUGUGAACUGAAGAUAAAGUCAUCUACCACUUACUGCUCUUUGAUCUAGAAGAUGAACUUCCUGGGGAAGAAGAUCAUAUUUUAUAUUCAGCUCAUCAAACAUUUUCUUCAUCUCGAGGAUCAGCUCAGUUCUCCGUCUGUUCUUUUCACCAAAGUUCUGAAAGUUCAUAGUAUGAUUGAAAUAGAGUGCCAUUUUAAUUUUGUUCAUAUUUUCAAUCUCCUUCACCACCACACUGUGAUUAGGAUGCCAAUACUGGGGAGUUCUCUCUAGGUACCUGAUAUUUCAACAAGAAAGGUGAAAAAUCAAAAACUUGAGUGAAAAAUGAAUAAUAUUACAAGGUUUAGGGAAAACCUUAUACAUAAGAUAUCCUUAUCUACCAUCAAGUAGUUAGAGAGUUUGCAUUGUCUUUGAACAGGUUAAUCCGUUUUUCCAUGAGAAGAAUACUGGUCAACGACUCGUGCUUUAAAACCGACUGCUCUUGGAGAAUAAAGCCUAAGCUCAAAGUCUAACUUCAUGGUAUUUGUUGGAGAAUAAAGCCUAAGCCAAGAUUUUAAAAUCAAGGUGUUUCAGUAAUUAGAAAGAAUCCUACUCAGCAUGUGGGCAUUAACAUCUGCCCUUAUCUCUCUCAACCAAGUUGCAUGUGGACACUAAAAACUAUCAAUAAAAGAUAUAACAAGAUAUAGAUUAUGCGCCAGAGAUUACAUGUUGUGCAUCACCCUUACCUCAGUCCAAACCACCACCAACGGCGGGAAAAAAGCCAUCAUCUUUUCUCAGUUUCCCUAUGUGCUUUAGUUUCAUUCAGAUCCUUUGCUUUGGGAAUGAAUCUCAGAGAAGAUAUAAGAGGCAUAUCAUGGAUUUGUUUCUUCAGACUAAAAUGCUUGCCUCAAAGAAAAGAAAUGUGUCCAUGUUAAACAUUCAGUAUUGGCUCGUCCAACUACAACAUGUUAAAUAUGUCAGCAUUCCAUUUGACACCCUUAUACUACCAGUAAAUGUCUACAAUUAGGGAUGGGCAGUGCACUCCUAAAAAUUGCCACAGAGAAAAGAAACAUGUCCAAGUUAUUUUUCCAGUAUUGUCUCUUCCAACUACGACCUGUUAAUCGUAUCAACAUUCCAUUAGACACCCCUAUACUACAAUUGCAUGUCAUCAAUUAGGGAUAGGCAGUUGCCUGGCUCGUUCACCAUUCAAGUAUGAGUGAGCUAAAACACGGGCAUGGAGAAUAUGGUCUUGGCUUGCCACCCCUACGGCGUAUAUGUUAUGCAUGACGUCAUUUAUCCGAAAUUUCACUCAGUUUAUGCAUUAUAAUUUCUCGGCAAACUAGUGAAUAUUUACAAUAUCUAUAUUAUAUUAAAUGCACGAAGGCUCUUAGCGAAAUGUUGUUCGCCUUUUUUACCCUUUAAAAAUAGAUUCACAUUGAACAAAAUAGUCAUCUAAUUAUAUUCCUAAUAUCUAGCACUUUAAAAUCAACGAAAAUUUAAUUUUCCUUGUUUGAAUUAUGUAAAAAGUACUACUAUUUAAAACUUUAAAAUUAAUUAGUUAAGAUUUUACCUUUUAUACUAACAAUAUAAUUACUUAUAAAAGAACACGUUGAAAAGGAAAUAUUUUGUAAUUUGAUCACCAUUAAACUUGUAUUUAAGCAAUACACUUUAAUGAUCAAACCACUCUUUUUCGCUCAAGUCCUAUAGUUUUUAAUAGUUGCCGUUUCUUUUCUACUUUGUUUUGCUUUUUAUUUUGGUUGUGAUUCAAGCCUUAUUCAUUGUGAUCUUUCUUUUUGCUUGCUUACUUUAUUUCUUUGGUUAGUACUUUUAAUCUCAUAAUGCCAUGUAACUAUAAUAUGAUUGAUGCAAAAUCCAAAUUUAUUAAUUUUGCAUUACAAAGUUGAGUAUUUCUUUUGACUGAUUUUUUUGCUGGGUACACUAUUUACUUUUUUUUGUCUCGUCAAGAAGUCACAUGUCCAGAAGAUGAGCGUAGCUGAAAUGAGGAUGUUGAAAUGGAUGUGUGGACAUACCAGGAAAGACAAGAUUAGAAAUGAAGUUAUUAGGGAUAAGGUGGGAGUGGCAUCCGUGGAAGACAAGUUGCGGGAAUCGAGGUUGCGACGGUUUGGACAUGUGAGGAGGAGAGACAUAGAUGCCCCGGUCAGGAGGUGUGAGAGGUUGAACAUGGCGAGCUUGAGGAAAGGCAAGGGUAGGCCAAAGAAAUAUUGGAAAGAGGUGAUUAGGCAGGACAUGUCGGUGCUUCACCUAACCGAGGACAUGCAUGACUAGCGAUAGGAAGGUAUGGAGGUCGAGGAUUAAAGUGGUGGGUUGACAGGUAGUUGUGACUUUCUCCUAGGUUUACCAAUAGUACUAGUAGUAUCCUUGUUGGUUUAGAGAUACUUUCUUUUAGAUUGUUAGUGUAUCUGGUACUUAGCUACCACGUCCAUUGUUUUUUUUUUUUGAAAACUGCUACUGGAAAUUGUUGCUCCUUGACUGAUACUAUUUGAUGCUACCUUUUCUCUCCUUUUACUGGAAAUUGUUGCUCCAUGAUUGUUACUAUUUGAUGUUAUUUUUUCUCCCUCUUUUCCUUAUUGUCUUGUCUUCUUCUUCCUCCUUUUUCUUCCUUGCCACCUUUUCUUGAGCCGAGGGUCUAUCGGAAACAGCCUCUCUACCUCUCCAUGUAGGGGUAAAGUCUGCAUACACACUACCCUCCCCAAACCCCACAGGUAGGGAUUAUAUUGUGUUUGUUGUUGUUGUUGGAUACACUAUUUAUUUUGUUUAUGUCUUUCAUGUUUUGCAUUUGACGGAAAUUAUCAAUUAUAACUCACAGGUUCUUAAUUGGAGGGUUUCUAAGUAUUCAGGUUCUUAAUUGGAAGGUAUCUAAGUAUUCAUUUGUGCCAUGAAUGUGAAAUUCGACAAGGUCUGACUUCAUCUGAAAGAGCAUUACAGAAAAACCGUGGUAUUUAAUUUCAUCUAUGAACAUAGAUAUUCUUAAUUAGCUCAAUCUUACAGUAUGCUCAGGUGUUCUUAAGAAUAGUUCAAUCACAUAGUGCUCUCUUUUGUUUGCCAACUACAACAGAUUAUUUUGUUUUGCAUGUUUGGCCAAAGAGUCAGAGCCGGCUCGGGGCUCUAACACCAAAUUAAGGUAGAGAAACUCCAUUUUUUUUGUAUUUCACUCUAAAUAUGAAUACAGAAAACACACAUAUUCACAUAACUAAACAAAUACAAAAGUUACAAACACACUCUUUAGCAUUGAAGAUUUUUUAGAAGGCUACAUCAGUUAAAAAAUUCGAAAAUUUGUCUUCGAAUCCUACCUUUUUUUACCAUUGCUUUCUCUUUAAAACUCAUAUAGUUAUAUUCUAUAAUGGAUAAAACUGUACUUAUUAUUCGUGCUUAAAUUUAUGAAAAAUAUUUAGCUAUUAGAAGUAAAUUAUGCAUUUGUCACUUUAACAUCCCAAUUAUAUUAUUUUGACCAUUUAAAUUAACAAAAAAAAGAGAGGCUAAAGUAGAAAAUAAGUUUUCGUGCACGUCAAGACUCUUUUCUAUUAAUUUUGUUUGGCGUCAAUGAAUGACUUUUCUUCACAAAAAAAAUAAAAUAAUUGUUGGAUAAAAUUGUGCUAACAUUAAAAAUCUCCUCUUAACAUAAAUUUAUAUGGAACUCUAAUACGAACUCAUUAAUGUCCUAUCUACUGUUGAAAUUUGGAAGAGAGAUUAAUUCAACAUGAAUAAGAACAAAAGAUACAAAAUUUUCUAUUUUCACCUAUCGAUCUUUAUGUUUGCCGAAUCAAUACCAGUUUUGACUCUUGCCAAUUACUUUUCUUUCUCUUGGUUUUUUUAUAGGUAUAAUUCUUUUAUCUAAGCAUUAAAUUGGAAUCCACAUAUCUUACUCAAUUAGCCGCGCUAUGUAUACUUUUCAAACUCUUAAUAUGCAUUUUCUGUUUUUUUUAUUAUUACCUUUCUCUUUUCAUUUCAAGAUUCUAAAACUUGGAAGCUUCAAAGUAGAAAGAUAGACCAAAAUUCUCAUUUGGGCCCUUAUAUUAUAUUUCUUUGUUUAUUUUACACCUUAAACUUACUAACCAAAUUAGCGUUGCUUCUUUACGAUCAUGUCUUUUGCAUGUUAAUUUCCAUUUCAAUUAACUGAUAGGUUUGCCUUUAAUCUUUAUUUUAUAACUCAAAAAAAAAUUGUAUUAAUAAUUUACUAAUUUUAUUAAAAUAUAUACUCAUUGAUAGGGUACACGCACAACGCGCGUACCUAAGAAUAAUAUGUAUAAAAUCACUUCAACCAAUAAGUUAGACAAUAGGAAUUGAGAUUCAAUUAUCAACUGAAUCUUUUUGCUACUUCAUAAAUUUUGCUAAGGAAUAAACCCAUAGGGAGGACUUGGACAUGUGUAGGGUCCAAAUGCACUAGGUUAGGCUCGGGGCUUGGAAAGGACCCUAGUUGUCGUAAUAAACCCCGGCUUUCAACAUUUCGAGAAAGCUGGGGUUUAGAUGAAUGUUCAACGGUAAAUUUUCAGAUUCUAGCUAGACUAGCUUUAACUUUUGGAUUCACUUAAGCCGUACCAAGAAAUAUCUUACAAAUUGCUGCAGAAGUCAUAUAUCUUUAAUUAUGAAAGUUGUGCUUUUGUCCUCAUAACUUUCAAGGGAUAAUUUACUACGAAUUCGGGAAAAAGAUGAGAAGAAUUUUCAACUUACUUCUUUGUUUUCUCUUUUAGAGCUCCUAUCUUUUCCACAGGUGUCCUGUAAUCAACAGAAAACUCAAAGGCAUCACCCAUAUCAGGACUUCUGUAGAAAUUGCUGAUUGGCUUGACGGCCAAAACUGUAUUUGGGUAGUAUAUCUUUUCGUUAUCAAACCUCAAGAAUACUGUGGUCAGGAUAUUCAUUUCUUCAACAAUCAUCUGCAAUUUGCAAGAUAAAAGUGUGAAUCAAUAGAGAAAAUGCAAAACAGCAAGAAGAUGCAAUUAGCAGACAUUACCUGAACACCAUCAAUGACACAUCGAUCACCAACAUCAAAAGGAUGCAUCACAAAUACGAAUAUAAUAGCUUCAAAUAUAGUCUUGCAAGUAUUCCCAAAAAUAAAAGCAGCUACCACGAGUUGUGACGACAGAAAGACAAUCACUUUAGUAGUCGCUAUCCCCACCAAAAGGAGCCAUAUGAUGAUUAUUAUGACAACGAGAAUGCAUGUCACGACCUUGUUCAAUUGCUUCACAGCAGUUUUUGUAUCAUUCAAAGCAUGCGAUAGAGCUCUUCGUCCUUGAUAAACCUUAACCUGAUACGCCAAAAAGGACAAAUGAUUGAUAUGCCGAAAAUGACAAAUACUCAUUUCACGACUGUCUCAGAAGGAAAGCUCUAAUUGUGCUCCCCUAAUCACCAGAAAAAAGUCUAGAAUUACUUUUAUUUUCUACAUCCCAAUAUUCUGCAUCAUGUUGGCAAUUAAAUAUCAGAUGAAAUGGAUCUAGUUUAAAUCAUGCCUAAAGUUAUUCCAACCUCUUAACAAUAUGAGCAUGGAGCAUCUAGUAACCAAAUCUGAUUUAGAUUCUUUUACAUCAGUUUGCCAGGCAUAAUCCAGGAAAAUGAGUAAGUUGUGAGCAUACCACCCAUUCCGUCAAUGAUUUCCUAUCAAUCUGUCCAGUUUCUGCCACAUCUAUCAUGGGGAACACAAUAUCGACCUCUUCUUUAAUCAAGAAUCUCCUAAGGUCAUACUCAUCAAUGUACCUAGACAUUCAAAAAAAGGAAUGUGAAUCAAGAGAGAUAACACUACAACAAAGAAUGUUACAGGAUAUUUAGUCGAAAUGUGACAAAUUAAAACAUCAAAAGUAAUGUUUAAAAUGCCAGUGUUUUCUUACCUGGAACCGGGCGAUGCAACAUUCCUGAAAAUGUGAUAGGCAGCAGCAAUUGCUUCCUCCUCAUUGUUGAUCUCCUUAUCUGCUUGCUCACCACCUGCAUCAUAGUCAUUCUCACCGAGCGAGCCAGAGAUAGUGGAAAGUCCUGAGUUAGAUAUUACAUCAACUAACGUUUUCAUGGUCCAUGCAGAGACCUUUUCUCGCUUCAUCUGAUGAAGUUUAUUGAUAUCAAUCACUGCCUUUUCUUUCUUUUCCUUCCCAUCUUUUCCCUUCUUUGUUCUGCGGAAACUAAAUUGACUGGCGGCACUGUUUGAUCUCCCCAACAUCUGAGCAGACUCCAUAACUGGGAGUCCCGAUAGGGUCAGUAGAAUAUACUGAUGAAAAAUUGACUCUUGAAUCCGGUCAAAGAAUGUGUUUACGUGGAAAGAGGCAGCCAAAAUCUUUAGCAGCAAAGUCUUCAAGAGCCACAAGAAUGCACCAAUAAGCAAAGCUGUAAUAGUCCAGGUAAUAAAAUUAGUAACCUUCUCGGCGGUACGCGACCGUUCCUCAUGUGAGAAGAGCAGAACCCAUGUGAGAAGAACCAAGCUAAACCAAAUGCAAACUUGAACACUUUUCUUUAAACCAAAGACAAAAUACAACACCUUCUUCCUCA